Molecule: signal recognition particle RNA, 96 nt
Filed under: Saprospiraceae bacterium
Lineage: Bacteria; Pseudomonadati; Bacteroidota; Saprospiria; Saprospirales; Saprospiraceae
Description: signal recognition particle sRNA small type
Rfam family: Bacteroidales small SRP
About the family: The non-coding component of the signal recognition particle in Bacteroides
Source: RNAcentral
CGUGAGGAGCAUACGGUCUGCUCCUUCCGAACUCCCCCAGGGUAGAAAUGCAGCAAGGGUAGGAAGUUGAGCGACGCGGUGUGUUUCCUCACAUUU